Molecule: long non-coding RNA, 2112 nt
Organism: Cyprinus carpio carpio
Lineage: Eukaryota; Metazoa; Chordata; Actinopteri; Cypriniformes; Cyprinidae
Source: Ensembl
UAACUUUUGAAAUUGUAAAAAACAAAAACUUUAAUUUUAAGGCUAAAAUUGUUAGAGAGAGAGAAAGAUUAAAAAAGCAAUAUUGGCAUAAGAAGUCAGCCAUAAUUUUUUAUUAUAAUUGCUUUAAUAUUUAUAAGUAGGCUACGCGCUCUAACAAACAUUCCGGAAGCAUUUUGUCAUCAUGUGACAAGAAAAACAAAGAAGAACCAUUUAAGACCACCAUGACUUGAUUGUGUCGAGUUUAAAGGUAAUAGGCCUACUUAUUAUUAUUUAAUAUUUGCAAGCUUUAUUCAAACGAAGUAGGCCUAGGCACUAAGUCCUAAGACAACUUUAUGAUAUUAAUGAGUUUUUUUUUUAAACGAUCGUAUUAUUAUUUAUUUUAAAUUGAGAUUAAAAAUUAUUCCUUGGAUUCACAGUAGCCUACAAGGAACGUAUUUAAAAACUUGAAAUUAAAUGAAUGGUUACACCACUGGACAUUUUCAAGUCUUUUUGUAAAAAAAUAAAUAAAAAGGAAUGUUAACUUGGAACUUGGCACACGUGUUUUAAACUAGACCUUUAAAAAUGAUUUCUCCUUUUUAUCAUCUCGAGCAUUUGUUAGUGACCCGUAUGUAUAGCGGCUCCACAGUAGAAGGUAAGCUUGAGACUCACGGGUCUGAAGGUCUGAACUGAGGAAUGUUGCGCUGCAUACCGCAACGCGCAUGCGCAGCGCAUUCAUAGGGCACUAUAUAGCAUACUGAGGCCUACAGAUUCUCUGUUCUCGUGAUCCUGGUUCAGCUCUGAGCUAGUAGCCUAGUUUUUGAAGCUUCAGAUGAGGAGUGGGCGUCGUAUUCUCGCCCUGUUGUCAUGAUUCAACAUUUUCACUGAGAAAAAAAGCAUCCUGUUGGAGCAUGUCGUUAACUCCAAGGCAGAAGCUGGUAUGCUUGGAAUUGCAGAGCACCAAGACUGCUUUUGGACUCAGAUAACCAAAGGGCCUACAAUAUGCUUUGCACUCAGUGUUUCUCAUAUUUGAAUGCCUGAGUCAGUCCAUUUGCGUGGUUUUUAAAGAAUGUGUCUUUAUUGAUAGCAUGCAUGUAUUGUUGUUAGAAGAUGAUUGUUUUUAAGUAGCCCAUUUAAAAUGCCAGAUGUGUUACAAAUGAUGUUUUUGAAAAAAUGUCACAUGGUGUAUUUAAUUCUAAAUGUUCAUGAUAAUUUCUUUACAAAUGCAGAUUAAAUUGUAUGAUUAAAGAUGAAAUCAUUCAAACUCAACCAUGUAAAAACCUAUUAUUAUUAUUAUUAUUAUUAUUAUUAUUAUUAUUAUUAUUAUUUUUAGCUGGAAAUCAACUAAACUGAAUUCUGCUUAAAAUUACAGCAUUUUGCCAUUCACUUUGGUUUGUUUGUAGGCUCUUCCUUGCUGUGAAGGGUCAGAUGUCACAAAGAGGUUUGCGUAUCAUGUGUUGUAGGAAACAUUUUCAAUCUCACCAUUUAGGGAUUUAAACCCCCAGUUAUUGUGUUUUGCACAGCCAUGUUAUCUUUCCCUAAUCAUGAUAAAUGCAUCUUGCAGGCGAGACCCUAUCAAUAUUGCCUCUGCUUUUUUCACUGUUUAUGGAGUAGUGCAAUAUUGCUUAUAGGGUCUUGACUUUAAGGGUAAUCUGCAAUUUCAGGAUCAUUCAGGGAUUUGAUUGUCCUUUGUCAUUUUUAUUAAAAUAUGCAAUGAUGUUAUGCCACGGCUUCACAAGAUCUCAAUCUGUGAAUCUUUUUGUGCAGAGAGAGUGGGGUUGCUGCUUUAAACAAUUUCAUUUGAAAUGCAAUAAAUAACACCUGUUUUACAUUAAAACAAAAUGGCCCACAAAUAUUUUGAUGUGGUUGUAGAUAUAGCUUUCUUUUAGCAGUGCAAACACAGCUAUUACAUUUAUACCUUUCCUAAUAUGAAUUAUAUCAUAAAGUCAGUAUCCUAUGCACAGUUGAAAAGUGAUUAAUUUUAAACCAUAUAGACCCAGGCUGGUUUAUUCAGCAAUUUAUUCAGAUACUCUAUUGUUGUAUUUGGAAGCAAAUAUUUCAGUUUUUGAUAAUGCUCAUUUUUCCUCGACAUCGUCUCAACUUCACAGGUCAAUAGAGAAAUAAAUUACUACAGCA